This is a non-coding RNA of Pangasianodon gigas (Mekong giant catfish), 72 nucleotides long. The record is from the annotation of a GenBank genome assembly. NCBI's taxonomy places the organism in Eukaryota, Metazoa, Chordata, Actinopteri, Siluriformes, Pangasiidae.
UUCCCAGUAGUCUAGUGGAUUGGUGUUGGUCUAUUGCUCCAGAGACUGGGGUUCAAUCCCCACACCGUGACA